UCCGUAGGCGGGAAUCUAAGUCAGUGGUGAAAUCUUACAGCUCAACUGUAAAAUUGCCAUUGAUACUGGAUUUCUUGAAUUAAUGUGAAGUGGUUAGAAUGUGUAGUGUAGCGGUGAAAUGCAUAGAUAUUACACAGAAUACCAAUUGCGAAGGCAGAUCACUAACAUUAUAUUGACGCUGAGGGACGAAAGCGUGGGGAGCGAACAGGAUUAGAUACCCUGGUAGUCCC
Molecule: ribosomal RNA, 230 nt
Filed under: uncultured bacterium
Lineage: Bacteria
Description: partial 16S ribosomal RNA
Rfam family: Bacterial small subunit ribosomal RNA
Source: RNAcentral